CCGCGUGAAUGAUGAAGGCCUUCGGGUUGUAAAGUUCUGUCUUCUGGGACGAUAAUGACGGUACCAGAGGAGGAAGCCACGGCUAACUACGUGCCAGCAGCCGCGGUAAUACGUAGGUGGCAAGCGUUGUCCGGAUUUACUGGGCGUAAAGGAUGCGUAGGCGGACAUUUAAGUCAGAUGUGAAAUACCCGAGCUUAACUUGGGUGCUGCAUUUGAAACUGGGUGUCUAGAGUGCAGGAGAGGUAAGUGGAAUUUCUAGUGUAGCGG
This 267-nucleotide ribosomal RNA is filed under the name uncultured bacterium. RNAcentral's name for it is "partial 16S ribosomal RNA". It matches the Rfam family "Bacterial small subunit ribosomal RNA", at positions 397 to 681 of the family's 1533-position model. The record is from RNAcentral.